This 118-nucleotide ribosomal RNA is filed under the name Prolemur simus (greater bamboo lemur). The record is from RNAcentral. Lineage: Eukaryota; Metazoa; Chordata; Mammalia; Primates; Lemuridae.
GUCUACAGCCAUGCCAUUCUGAAUGCACCCGAUCUCGUCUGAUCUUGGAAGCUAAGCAGAGUCGGGCCUGGUUAGUACUUGGAUAAAAAUGUGUACCAGAAUCUCAGAUAUGGCGAUU